Long non-coding RNA from Mus musculus (house mouse), 770 nucleotides. RefSeq annotates it as predicted gene, 50137. Lineage: Eukaryota; Metazoa; Chordata; Mammalia; Rodentia; Muridae. The record is from RefSeq and is a predicted model, not a curated record. The transcript has 4 exons.
GACAAGGAUGGAGUUUCAAGGAGAUGUGCUGGAUCAAUGGAUAAUGGCAUUGUCUCUGGCUUAAUGCUUCUGUGAAACAUCCUCAGCUGGUGUUGUGCCUGUUCGAGAGCCCCAAAGGACCACCAAGGAGCAGAUUCAAAUGCAAUCGCAGUGGGGUCUUUUUAUUCAAGCUAGGGCUUAGACUCAUCGCGGACACUGAACCAGCAGGAUAAAUAGUUCGGAAAGCCCGGAGCCCAGUUUCAAGCAAGCAUUUAUAGAGACAUAUUUUCUCUACUCGGCUUUCAUCCUGCUCAUAUCCACUGAGAAAAUUUAACCAUUCAUCAAGGGAUAUCCUAAGUCCCAUCAACAGCCCAGACCAGCACUACUUUUAUCUGGCCUUUAUCUGCAUUUCUUUACCAGACCUAGAAAGGGAAGAAAAUUAGAGAGCAAGAAUGUUACAUCACAAAACUGAGAGCACCUGACCAAACUGACAUCCAGAGUUACAACAAAUGUCUACUGCCAGAGCUUGCCAAGGUAUUUGUUCACUCUUCCAGAUCCAUGCAGGAGGCACUCUGGUGACAGAUUGCAGCUCAUGUCGUAGCUGUCAUCAUGAAAGACUUGAGUGAUGACUGUGCCAAGCCUCGUAUUCUGAGCAGGGACUCUCUGGCACUGUUUUCUGCAGGGCUGGCCCCAAGCUAACCUUGGAGUCUGUUACCUUUUCCCUCCCACUAUCCUCAGGGAUGCUCAAACUUCCUUGCUUUCUGACUCCUCACCAUCUUCUAAAUCUUCAC